This 406-nucleotide ribosomal RNA is filed under the name uncultured bacterium. RNAcentral describes it as "partial 16S ribosomal RNA". It matches the Rfam family "Bacterial small subunit ribosomal RNA", at positions 29 to 526 of the family's 1533-position model. The record is from RNAcentral.
AUUGAACGCUAGCGGGAGGCCUAACACAUGCAAGUCGAACGAGUGGCGGACGGGUGAGUAAUGUCUGGGAAACUGCCCGGUGGCGGGGGAUAACUACUGGAAACGGUAGCUAAUACCGCAUACCAUCAGAUGUGCCCAGAUGGGAUUAGCUAGUGGGUGGGGGAACGGCGCACCAAGGCGACGAUCCCUAGCUGGUCUGAGAGGACGACCAGCCACACUGGGACUGAGACACGGUCCAGACUCCUACGGGAGGCAGCAGUGGGGAAUUUUGGACAAUGGGGGCAAGCCUGAUGCAGCCAUGCCGCGUGUAUGAAGAAGGCCUUCGGGUUGUAAAGUACUUUCAGCGGGGAGGCGGUACCUGCAGAAGAAGCACCGGCUAACUCCGUGCCAGCAGCCGCGGUAAUAC